Molecule: ribosomal RNA, 497 nt
Filed under: uncultured bacterium
Lineage: Bacteria
Description: partial 16S ribosomal RNA
Rfam family: Bacterial small subunit ribosomal RNA
Source: RNAcentral
GAUGAACGCUGGCGGCGUGCCUAAUACAUGCAAGUCGAGCGAACAGACGAGGAGCUUGCUCCUCUGACGUUAGCGGCGGACGGGUGAGUAACACGUGGAUAACCUACCUAUAAGACUGGGAUAACUUCGGGAAACCGGAGCUAAUACCGGAUAAUAUAUUGAACCGCAUGGUUCAAUAGUGAAAGACGGUUUUGCUGUCACUUAUAGAUGGAUCCGCGCCGCAUUAGCUAGUUGGUAAGGUAACGGCUUACCAAGGCAACGAUGCGUAGCCGACCUGAGAGGGUGAUCGGCCACAAUGGAACUGAGACACGGUCCAGACUCCGACGGGAGGCAGCAGUAGGGAAUCUUCCGCAAUGGGCGAAAGCCUGACGGGGCAACGCCGCGUGAGUGAUGAAGGUCUUCGGAUCGUAAAACUCUUUUAUUAGGGAAGAACAAAUGUGUAAGUAACUAUGCACGUCUUGACGGUCCCUAAUCAGAAAGCCACGGCUAACUACGUG